Liolophura sinensis is the source of this 723-nucleotide long non-coding RNA. RefSeq lists it as uncharacterized. The transcript is spliced from 4 exons. NCBI's taxonomy places the organism in Eukaryota, Metazoa, Mollusca, Polyplacophora, Chitonida, Chitonidae. The record is from RefSeq and is a predicted model, not a curated record.
CAUUUCCACAGUUUUCUCUUUCCGGUUGAGCGUUCAGACGUCGUAAUAGAUUUUACCAUCAUGUCUGGAAGAGAAGGAGGUAAGAAGAAGCCGCUGAAAGCGCCGAAGAAAAAACAGGGGGAAAUGGAUGAGGAUGACCUGGCCUUAAAACAGAAGCAAAAGGAAGAACAGAAGGCGUUGAAGGAAGCAAAAGAAAAAGCUGGCAAGAAAGGCCCAUUGUCGAGUGGUGGUAUAAAGAAGUCUGGCAAAAAAUAACCCCAACUUUGGCCUUGCUCUUGAUUCUUAUAUGAAGAUUUCAAAAGAUUAUUGGACAACAUCGGAUUAUUUGCAUGAAGUGUGGAAAUGAACUUUCAAGGAAUCAGACAAGGCUGUUUGUUAUUUUUAGAUGUUUUUUGUAGAUUUCUUCAUCAGUGAAAACUUUAAUAGCAGUGUAAUCUUGGUUGAAAGAUCUCCACUUUUGAAUAUUGCAUCUGUGUCCAUCUACUGUACAAUACUAGUAAAAUAGAAACUGAUGGUUCAAGUGUUUACAGAAUUCAAUUUUUUGUUGUACCAGUACUUGACAUGAUUGUACAAUUCAUAUCCACCUGUUGUAUCCAUGUAAGACAUUUACCAGUCCAGCAAGACACUCAAGUAUUGCCCUCGUUCCAUUUUUCUCUGUCUACAACAUACUGUAGGCAUAAAAGAUGGGUUUGAAGUAAAAUGCAUAACGUAUUUUACAAAUAA